Molecule: ribosomal RNA, 350 nt
Filed under: uncultured bacterium
Lineage: Bacteria
Description: bacterial SSU rRNA
Rfam family: Bacterial small subunit ribosomal RNA
Source: RNAcentral
GGGCCCGCACAAGCGGCGGAGCAUGCGGAUUAAUUCGAUGCAACGCGAAGAACCUUACCAAGGCUUGACAUAUAGAGGAAAAGUGCAGAAAUGCACUCCCCGCAAGGUCUCUAUACAGGUGGUGCAUGGUUGUCGUCAGCUCGUGUCGUGAGAUGUUGGGUUAAGUCCCGCAACGAGCGCAACCCCUGUCGUUAGUUGCCAGCAUGUAAAGAUGGGGACUCAUGGGAUACUGCCGGGGUCAACUCGGAGAAGGUGGGAUGACGUCAAAUCAUCAUGCCCCUUAUGUCUUGGGCUUCACGCAUGCUACAAUGGCCGGUACAGAGGGCUGCAAUACCGCAAGGUGGAGCGAA